This 3381-nucleotide long non-coding RNA is filed under the name Setaria italica (foxtail millet). Its description in RNAcentral is "long non-coding RNA (SITA_LNC004853)". Lineage: Eukaryota; Viridiplantae; Streptophyta; Magnoliopsida; Poales; Poaceae. The record is from RNAcentral.
CCCUUCAUUUCUCAGCACACAGCAAUCCAUCAUGUGGUGAAUUAUGCACUUCUUUUCCAGAAUGUGCAGCAAGCCUAGCAUAGCAAGGUAAUCCAGGACUACCUGUGCCCAUUAAGAUUCACAGUUCAGAAAUUGCAGCGCACAAAGACAAAUACAUGGACUAUGCACAAGCCACAGUGCUAUGCAGAGCUGGUGGCAUGAGCACAACAAAAUCGCAACAGUACUUAGGAAGCCAAACGUAGUACAACUGAUAAAAAGUUGAUCGAGAGAGAGGAUAGGCAAAUCUGCAGCCUAUUUUAGCCAGUUUGGAUCGAGCACGUGGACUCUAAUCCAGAAUCAAAAGGACACUACAUCUUUGUUAUACUGCUGUGUGCUUUAGCAAGAACUAAAAUACAUUUGUCAGCCAUGCAUGUGUUUGUUUUCCAAUUCAAAGUCGAUAGGCCAACAUGUUUCUAAAUGAGAUUUUAUUUUUGUUAUGCAGGAAUUGGCGACAUCUGUUCAUAUGUGUGUUACAAGGAAAAGGCCUAUGAGAAUCAUAAAUGAAGUAAGCGGGGUCAUUCGACCAUCAAGGUAAAUGUCACCAUAUCUUUCACUAACUGCCAACCGUUCUACCUGAAAACUAAGUACUUGAGCAAAUUUAGCAGAGAAAUACUAAAUACAGCUGUAUGAGUUUGUUAGCAUUUUUGUGCUUUCCCUCCUCUUCGUCUCCAAUAAAAAAGUCCCUUCUGUCUAGUCUAGCACUUGAGCAUCUAUUGUCUUUAUUAAGAUAUUGAAUUUUUAAACCCAUUCUGUCAGGAUGACACUUCUUCUAGGAGCACCAGGUUCAGGGAAAACAACAUUUUUAAAAGCAUUGGCAGGAAAAUUGGAUUCUUCUUUGAAGGUAGACUAAAUUACCUACUACAUGCUAUCAGAAGUAUUUGUUAAAGAGAACGGGGGGAAAUGAGAUAACCUGACAAAAAUGCAUUUUUCUUAAUGACACAAUGAUUCAGUUCAAAGGAAAGGUACUGUACAAUGGACAAGAAAUGAGUUCCUCAACACCGCAGUACCUGCGUGCUUAUGUUAGCCAGUAUGAUCUUCACCAUGCGGAGAUGACAGUAAGAGAGACGAUCGACUUCUCUUCCAAGAUGCUGGGAACCAAUAAUGAAUUUGGUAAGACAUCCUCUUGCAUAUAGUAAGCUAUUCAUUUUGAACAUCAUUGCAAUGUGCUGCAGUUAACAGUAAUGCAGACACUGUAACUCAAGAAGGAAGUAUGGAUAGAAUGUUCAAGAUUUAUCAAUUUUUCCAUGGCACAAAUACUGAUACAGUCGUGUUUGCUUGGAAUGAUAAUCUCAGAGAUGCUAGGAGAAGCAAUAAGAAGGAAAAAAGGUGUCAUCAACAAAGUCGACCAAGAUCUUGAUUCAUUCAUUAAGGUAGUUUCACAAUGUAUUACUUCGCUUCUUGUAAAACUGGAUUAUAUUUUGUUCAGUUACUCAAAAAACUUUCCUCUGAAGGCUACCACCUUUGGAGAAGGAAGCAACCUUACAACAAACUACAUUAUCAAGGUAACUUGAUUACUUGUUCAGUUUGCUAUAUAACUUGACAACAUAAUAGUAACAGUUGAUUAUAUGCAGAUACUUGGCUUGUCUGAGUGUGCUGAUACCCUAGUAGGAGACGAGCUGAGAAGAGGAAUAUCAGGAGGGCAAAAGAAAAGAGCCACAAUUGGUAAGCAUAACACUUCUCAAUCAGUCAAGUAAAAUACAUAUAUAGCUAUAGGUUUUGUAUAGGCAGCACGUGCUUUGAUCUGAAAGAAUGCAUAAAACCCUAAAAACAGAGUGCUUAUAACUAUCAAGCCAAAUGGAAAGCAGCUAGCCAGAAAGUUAGAAUGGGGAACAGAGUAAGGAGAGACUUAACUGGCUAACUGAAGGAAUGUUUGAACUUGGAAUCAAGUGGUAAUAUAUCAGAAUUAUAUCCUCGUUUUCCUGUACAAAAGUAUCAAGUGGGAACUUUAGUAAGAUGAUAUGCUCAAUUUUUCUACCAUAAAAAGGAACCAAUAUGUCAAGAUCCAGGAGCAAAUAGCAUGAAAAAAAUAGUAGCUUUCAAUCAAUUGAACUGUGGAAACGUUAUAUUAUAGUGGCAAUAGUGUAGUAUAUUCUCCCCUUAAUAUAUUGAAACUCAACAAUUAAUUCCACUGUAUCAGACCAAGCAUCGAUCAAUGUGUUAUAACUAGAUAAAACUAGGAUUUGCGUGCAUUCUCGCUGCACUAUAUACUUUCUAGUAGUGACAUUCACAUGAGACUAUGAGAGAGCAUCCCACGCAAAUCAAUAUGCCAGUAACAUUGAAGAAAAUUGUAAUGAGAUGGUGCCAACUACCGAGAAGUUUGAAUACUGACAUCAUGGUUGACAGUUUUAUUUGCAACUUUAUUAAAAUGAUUUUUUUUUAAAUGCAGGGGAGAUGCUAGUUGGUUUUGCAAGAUGUUUCUUUAUGGAUGAUAUAUCAACAGGUCUAGAUAGCUCCACCACAUUUGAGAUCAUGAAAUUUCUCCAACAGAUGGCACAUUUGAUGGAUCUCACAAUGGUUAUUUCCUUGCUGCAACCACCUCCCGAGACAUUGGAACUAUUUGACGACAUUAUACUUUUAUGUGAGGGGCAAAUUGUGUAUCAUGGUCCUCGAGAAAGUGCUACAGACUUCUUUGAAACUAUGGGAUUCAAAUGCCCCAGCAGGAAGAAUGUAGCAGAUUUCCUUCAAGAGGUACUCAAUUAUUAAAUGUACCUAGAUGGCUUACAAUUCCACGCAGUAGUGCAAAAUACCAGUACUCUGCAAUAUAUGUACUUGUGCAAAAUAAUGUAACAUUUUUUCUCCAAUUGACCACUAACCAGGUAACCUCAAAGAUGGACCAAAAGCAAUACUGGGCUGGUGAUCAAAAUAAGUAUCACUACCAUUCAAUUGAAAAAUUUGCAAAAGCUUUCCGAAUGUCAUAUCUCCCUCGACUAGAAGAAGAAAAACUGUGCAGUUCAAACAGUACUGGAAAGAACAAGGAAGUAAAAAUGAGUGCAAGUCGCCAGAUCUCCAGAUGGAAUAUUUUCAAGGCAUGCUUUUCAAGAGAAGUAUUGCUCCUAAAACGGAACUCUCCGGUACAUAUAUUCAAGACCAUACAGAUAACUGUUAUGGCUUUGGUGAUCUCCACACUUUUCCUGAGAACAAAAAUGAGCCACAAAUCCGUAGUUGAUGCUAAUGAGUACAUGGGAGCGCUUUUUAUGGCUGUUGUGAUAGUAAACUUCAAUGGCAUGACUGAAAUUGCAAUGACAAUAAAGCGACUUCCCACCUUCUACAAGCAAAGAGAAUUACUAGCAUUGCCAGGAUGGGCACUCCUUUCUUCUGUUUUCCUUAUUAGUAUCCCGAUAU